GCGCACCAGUCGCGAAACCUCCGCAAUGCUCGAAAGAGCGACGGGGGACUCCAAGUGCCUACGCUCAGCGUAGGCUGUUCCCGAGCCUAAAAGCUCGGGGAGUUAAGGGCUGGGUAAGACGGGUGCCAGCCGCCGCGGUAAUACCCGCAGCCCCGAGUGGUGGCCGCUAUUAUUGGGCCUAAAAGCGUCCGUAGCCGGCUCGGUAAAAUGCCUGGGUAAAAUCGUCUGGCCCAACCAGACGAAUUCCGGGUAGAACUGCCGGGCUAGGGACCGGAGGAGGGAGAGGGGUACUCCA
Molecule: ribosomal RNA, 295 nt
Filed under: uncultured microorganism
Description: partial 16S ribosomal RNA
Rfam family: Archaeal small subunit ribosomal RNA
Source: RNAcentral